GGACUACCGGGGUUUCUAAUCCCGUUUGCUCCCCUGGCUUUCGCGCCUCAGCGUCAAUACCGGUCCAGGAUGCCGCCUUCGCCACCGGUGUUCCUCCAGAUAUCUACGCAUUUCACCGCUACACCUGGAAUUCCACAUCCCUCUCCCGGAUUCGAGCCUUCCAGUCUCAGACGCAGUUCCCGGGUUGAGCCCGGGGAUUUCACGUCUGACUUAGAAGGCCGCCUACGCGCCCUUUACGCCCAGUAAUUCCGAACAACGCUUGCCCCCUCUGUAUUACCGCGGCUGCUGGCAC
This 292-nucleotide ribosomal RNA is filed under the name uncultured Acidobacteriota bacterium. RNAcentral describes it as "uncultured Acidobacteria bacterium partial 16S ribosomal RNA". Lineage: Bacteria; Pseudomonadati; Acidobacteriota. The record is from RNAcentral.